UUGAACGCUGGCGGCAGGCCUAACACAUGCACGUCGAACGGUAACAGGAAACAGCUUGCUGUUUCGCUGACGAGUGGCGGACGGGUGAGUAAUGUCUGGGAAACUGCCUGAUGGAGGGGGAUAACUACUGGAAACGGUAGCUAAUACCGCAUAACGUCGCAAGACCAAAGAGGGGGACCCUCGGGCCUCUUGCCAUCGGAUGUGCCCAGAUGGGAUUAGCUUGUUGGUGGGGUAACGGCUCACCAAGGCGACGAUCCCUAGCUGGUCUGAGAGGAUGACCAGCCACACUGGAACUGAGACACGGUCCAGACUCCUACGGGAGGCAGCAGUGGGGAAUAUUGCACAAUGGGCGCAAGCCUGAUGCAGCCAUGCCGCGUGUAUGAAGAAGGCCUUCGGGUUGUAAAGUACUUUCAGCGGGGAGGAAGGGAGUAAAGUUAAUACCUUUGCUCAUUGACGUUGCCCGCAGAAGAAGCACCGGCUAACUCCGUG
RNAcentral lists this ribosomal RNA (489 nucleotides) under uncultured bacterium. RNAcentral describes it as "partial 16S ribosomal RNA". It matches the Rfam family "Bacterial small subunit ribosomal RNA", at positions 30 to 507 of the family's 1533-position model. The record is from RNAcentral.